RNAcentral lists this ribosomal RNA (284 nucleotides) under uncultured Prevotella sp. RNAcentral describes it as "partial 16S ribosomal RNA". It matches the Rfam family "Bacterial small subunit ribosomal RNA", at positions 355 to 634 of the family's 1533-position model. The record is from RNAcentral. Lineage: Bacteria; Pseudomonadati; Bacteroidota; Bacteroidia; Bacteroidales; Prevotellaceae.
UGAGGAAUAUUGGUCAAUGGGCGAGAGCCUGAACCAGCCAAGUAGCGUGCAGGACGACGGCCCUAUGGGUUGUAAACUGCUUUUAUAUGGGGAUAAAGUGAGCUACGUGUAGCUUAUUGCAGGUACCAUAUGAAUAAGGACCGGCUAAUUCCGUGCCAGCAGCCGCGGUAAUACGGAAGGUCCAGGCGUUAUCCGGGAUUUAUUGGGUUUAAAGGGAGCGUAGGCCGCCCCUUAAGCGUGUUGUGAAAUGCCGCGGCUCAACCCGUGGCACUGCAGCGCGAACU